GAUGAACGCUGGCGGCGUGCCUAAUACAUGCAAGUCGAGCGAACGGAUGAGAAGCUUGCUUUUCUGAUGUUAGCGGCGGACGGGUGAGUAACACGUGGAUAACCUACCUAUAAGACUGGGAUAACUUCGGGAAACCGGAGCUAAUACCGGAUAAUAUAUUGAACCGCAUGGUUCAAAAGUGAAAGACGGUUUUGCUGUCACUUAUAGAUGGAUCCGCGCUGCAUUAGCUAGUUGGUAAGGUAACGGCUUACCAAGGCAACGAUGCGUAGCCGACCUGAGAGGGUGAUCGGCCACACUGGAACUGAGACACGGUCCAGACUCCUACGGGAGGCAGCAGUAGGGAAUCUUCCGCAAUGGGCGAAAGCCUGACGGAGCAACGCCGCGUGAGUGAUGAAGGUCUUCGGAUCGUAAAGCUCUGUUAUUAGGGAAGAACAUAUGUGUAAGUAACUGUGCACGUCUUGACGGUACCUAAUCAGAAAGCCACGGCUAACUACGUG
RNAcentral lists this ribosomal RNA (497 nucleotides) under uncultured bacterium. Its description in RNAcentral is "partial 16S ribosomal RNA". It matches the Rfam family "Bacterial small subunit ribosomal RNA", at positions 28 to 507 of the family's 1533-position model. The record is from RNAcentral.